CUUUAUUUCCCAUUUCUCCUUCUCCUUCUCCUAUGGAAAUAAAGGAAAGUUGCAUCUUUUUCCCUUCUCUUCUUUUUUCAAGUAUAAGAACUCUCUUGUUAUUCUUCUUUCUCUCUCUAAUAAGCAAGAAAGGCAGCAGUUGCUAUCCUCUCCCGACUACAAGAGCAGCAGCUCUCCUCUUUGCUUCUUUCAUUAUUUUUCUAACCAGUCAUAGCCGCCAAGCCCAACCAGAGCUAGCCGAGGAAAGCAUCUCUCUUAGGAUUCAAGCAAUCAUGAUAUUCCCCUUUGUCCAAAUAACCACUCCAACUUUAGAAGGAAAUGCAAUGAGGUGGACUUACCCAUGGUCAAGGUUGGGGCAGUAGUCAUGCUCAUAGUCGCAGAUAUGGUUACAAUGGUGGUAGUGGCUGAGGUAGUGGUCGUGCAUAUCGACGCGCCUCUACUUCUCAUAGGAUUGAUCAUGGUUUGGAUGAGGCACCUCUCUCCCCAUCUGAGAUAAUACCAAAAGCUUAAGUUGGUAUUAGUGUUAGAGCUGGUGGUCACCUAGAGGAUAACCUCAUCUUUUUGAAGCUCAUGUAGUGAGACCGGUAUUUCCCACAACAUCCAUUAUCAUGGAAAAGGCUUGUAUUCUUUUGCUUGCUAGUUCAACAAAGAAAUGUUUGUUAGUAUUAGCCCUAGUACCAAUUAUGAGAUGAUUGUAAAGGGGCACAUUAUUAUAUCAUAUUUCAUUAUAAAUAA
Zingiber officinale is the source of this 735-nucleotide long non-coding RNA. RefSeq lists it as uncharacterized. The record is from RefSeq and is a predicted model, not a curated record. The transcript has 3 exons. NCBI's taxonomy places the organism in Eukaryota, Viridiplantae, Streptophyta, Magnoliopsida, Zingiberales, Zingiberaceae.